CUACGGGUGGCUGCAGUGGGGAAUCUUAGACAAUGGGGGAAACCCUGAUCUAGCCAUGCCGCGUGAGCGAUGAAGGCCUUAGGGUUGUAAAGCUCUUUCAGUGGGGAAGAUAAUGACUGUACCCACAGAAGAAGCCCCGGCUAACUCCGUGCCAGCAGCCGCGGUAAUACGGAGGGGGCUAGCGUUGUUCGGAAUUACUGGGCGUAAAGUGCACGUAGGCGGAUCAGAAAGUCAGAGGUGAAAUCCCAGGGCUCAACCUUGGAACUGCCUUUGAAACUCCUGAUCUUGAGGUCGAGAGAGGUGAGUGGAGUUCCGAGUGUAGAGGUGAAAUUCGUAGAUAUUCGGAGGAACACCAGUGGCGAAGGCGGCUCACUGGCUCGAUACUGACGCUGAGGUGCGAAAGCGUGGGGAGCAAACAGGAUUAGAUACCCCUGUAGUC
RNAcentral lists this ribosomal RNA (439 nucleotides) under uncultured bacterium. Its description in RNAcentral is "partial 16S ribosomal RNA". It matches the Rfam family "Bacterial small subunit ribosomal RNA", at positions 339 to 795 of the family's 1533-position model. The record is from RNAcentral.